UGCCGAUACUCCUUUAUCCUCUUCACAUUUUGUUCAUUCCCCUUCGCCUCCUCCUUUUGUUCAAUGGAAGACAAUAUCCGCCAAGAUGCCCUUCUUGCUCCAAUGACAUUUUUGUACCCAACAGAAACCAGAUUCCUCUCCUCCACUGUCAAUUCUACAUCCAACCUAGCAACUUUCUUCAUUGCUUCAACCAUCUCAUCGUAUCUCUCGGCUUGCUCUGCAAGUCUCGCCAAGUAAACCUGCUGCUCUCUCUCCUUCUCCAUCCUCUUUUCUCUGUGUGUGCUCGAGUGAGAUUUUUGCUUUGAGCGGUUUUAGGUGGCUGGGAACUGCUAUGAGAU
RNAcentral lists this unclassified non-coding RNA (338 nucleotides) under Hevea brasiliensis (rubber tree). Lineage: Eukaryota; Viridiplantae; Streptophyta; Magnoliopsida; Malpighiales; Euphorbiaceae. The record is from RNAcentral.